Molecule: ribosomal RNA, 468 nt
Filed under: uncultured bacterium
Lineage: Bacteria
Description: partial 16S ribosomal RNA
Rfam family: Bacterial small subunit ribosomal RNA
Source: RNAcentral
GACGAACGCUGGCGGCGUGCUUAACACAUGCAAGUCGAACGGAAAGGCCCUGCUUUUGUGGGGUGCUCGAGUGGCGAACGGGUGAGUAACACGUGAGUAACCUGCCCUUGACUUUGGGAUAACUUCAGGAAACUGGGGCUAAUACCGGAUAGGAGCUCCUGCUGCAUGGUGGGGGUUGGAAAGUUUCGGCGGUUGGGGAUGGACUCGCGGCUUAUCAGCUUGUUGGUGGGGUAGUGGCUUACCAAGGCUUUGACGGGUAGCCGGCCUGAGAGGGUGACCGGCCACAUUGGGACUGAGAGACGGCCCAGACUCCUAUGGGAGGCAGCAGUGGGGAAUAUUGCACAGUGGGCGGAAGCCUGAUGCAGCAACGCCGCGUGCGGGAUGACGGCCUUCGGGUUGUAAACCGCUUUCGCCUGUGACGAAGCGUGAGUGACGGUAAUGGGUAAAGAAGCACCGGCUAACUACGUG